AGUUUUCCAUGAUGAAAUGCGUAUUAAGUCUGUGUUUCAGCUGGCCAUCCUGAUUAAACACAUGCCUCGAGCAGAGU
Molecule: small nucleolar RNA, 77 nt
Organism: Pteronotus mesoamericanus
Lineage: Eukaryota; Metazoa; Chordata; Mammalia; Chiroptera; Mormoopidae
Product: small nucleolar RNA SNORD126
Exons: 1
Source: RefSeq, a predicted model, not a curated record